This 543-nucleotide ribosomal RNA is filed under the name Bifidobacterium breve. RNAcentral's name for it is "bacterial SSU rRNA". It matches the Rfam family "Bacterial small subunit ribosomal RNA", at positions 159 to 711 of the family's 1533-position model. The record is from RNAcentral. Lineage: Bacteria; Bacillati; Actinomycetota; Actinomycetes; Bifidobacteriales; Bifidobacteriaceae.
GGUGGUAAUGCCGGAUGCUCCAGCUCAUCGCAUGGUGUUCUGGGAAAGCCUUUGCGGCAUGGGAUGGGGUCGCGUCCUAUCAGCUUGAUGGCGGGGUAACGGCCCACCAUGGCUUCGACGGGUAGCCGGCCUGAGAGGGCGACCGGCCACAUUGGGACUGAGAUACGGCCCAGACUCCUACGGGAGGCAGCAGUGGGGAAUAUUGCACAAUGGGCGCAAGCCUGAUGCAGCGACGCCGCGUGAGGGAUGGAGGCCUUCGGGUUGUAAACCUCUUUUGUUAGGGAGCAAGGCAUUUUGUGUUGAGUGUACCUUUCGAAUAAGCACCGGCUAACUACGUGCCAGCAGCCGCGGUAAUACGUAGGGUGCAAGCGUUAUCCGGAAUUAUUGGGCGUAAAGGGCUCGUAGGCGGUUCGUCGCGUCCGGUGUGAAAGUCCAUCGCUUAACGGUGGAUCCGCGCCGGGUACGGGCGGGCUUGAGUGCGGUAGGGGAGACUGGAAUUCCCGGUGUAACGGUGGAAUGUGUAGAUAUCGGGAAAGAACACCA